UUGAAAAGAACUUUGAAGAGAGAGUUCAAGAGGGCGUGAAACCGUUUAGAAGUAAACGGGUAAAGCCGCGAGGUAGUCGCAAAAAUCAACCAAUUUACUAGUCCGCCUCGGUUAAAUCGACGUGUAAAGCGGUCGAUCGGGCGUCCAUGGGCUAGCGCGUGGUGCACUUUUUGUGACGAAGCAUUGCGACUAAAGCGAAUUUCGGUGAACGAGGGAACGUGAAGACAGAGCCGAGUGUUCUGCGACUAAGUUCCUUGUUCGGGUGUACCGAUAAGACGUUUUAGUGACUCGAGUAGUCGCCGUUUGGCUCGCGAAACUCUAGACACGGGUCGGUCGAAAUGUCCUUUCUAGCUCGCUGGAACGGACGACCCCCGGUUUGAGUCUAGGGCGUAUGCGAGAGACUACGAAGGUUCGGCAAUGUCCGUGGCGGCCGCUUACCCGACCCGUCUUGAAACACGGACCAAGGAGUCUAACAUGUGCGCGAGUUAUUGGGUGGUAAACCCAAAGGCGAAAUAAAAGUAAAGACCGCGUCUGGCGUGUCUAGAUACGAUCCUCGACUCGGUCGGGGCGGAGUAUCGUCCCAUCUAUGUGGUGCGUCCACUGGGUGGAGAUAGAGCGUAAAUGUUGGGACCCGAAAGAUGGUGAACUAUGCCUGAGCAGAACGAAGCCAGAGGAAACUCUGGUGGAGGUUCGUAGCGGUUCUGACGUGCAAAUCGAUCGUCAGAC
Molecule: ribosomal RNA, 726 nt
Filed under: Anatonchus tridentatus
Lineage: Eukaryota; Metazoa; Nematoda; Enoplea; Mononchida; Anatonchidae
Description: LSU rRNA
Rfam family: Eukaryotic large subunit ribosomal RNA
Source: RNAcentral